AUUGAACGCUGGCGGCAUGCCUUACACAUGCAAGUCGAACGGCAGCACGGGUGCUUGCACCUGGUGGCGAGUGGCGAACGGGUGAGUAAUACAUCGGAACAUGUCCUGUAGUGGGGGAUAGCCCGGCGAAAGCCGGAUUAAUACCGCAUACGAUCUACGGAUGAAAGCGGGGGCCCUUCGGGCCUCGCGCUAUAGGGUUGGCCGAUGGCGGAUUCGCUAGUUGGUGGGGUAAAGGCCUACCAAGGCGACGAUCAGUAGCUGGUCUGAGAGGACGACCAGCCACACUGGAACUGAGACACGGCCCAGACUCCUACGGGAGGCAGCAGUGGGGAAUUUUGGACAAUGGGCGAAAGCCUGAUCCAGCAAUGCCGCGUGUGUGAAGAAGGCCUUCGGGUUGUAAAGCACUUUUGUCCGGAAAGAAAUCCUUGGCCCUAAUACGGUCGGGGGAUGACGGUACCGGAAGAAUAAGCACCGGCUAACUACGUG
This 486-nucleotide ribosomal RNA is filed under the name uncultured bacterium. RNAcentral describes it as "partial 16S ribosomal RNA". It matches the Rfam family "Bacterial small subunit ribosomal RNA", at positions 30 to 507 of the family's 1533-position model. The record is from RNAcentral.